GAGAUGUAUCAAAAUAAAAUUCAAUUCACAAAACUUGUUAUCACACCACCUUAAAUUUUUUACGGUUAUGCGUUGUGGUAAAACUUUCACCACCAAUUCGAUCCAUUUUUCAUCAUCGGUCUCUUCAAAUCUUUUCAAAAUCAAAAUAAAUAUCUCUAAUUAUGUGUGUCAUCUCUAUCGUAUAAUAUACUAUGAUUUCUCAAAUCAAAAUUUAUAUACAAUUUUG
RNAcentral lists this long non-coding RNA (226 nucleotides) under Arabidopsis lyrata. RNAcentral describes it as "long non-coding RNA (ALYR_LNC001070)". The record is from RNAcentral. Lineage: Eukaryota; Viridiplantae; Streptophyta; Magnoliopsida; Brassicales; Brassicaceae.